UACGGAGGAUGCGAGCGUUAUCCGGAUUUAUUGGGUUUAAAGGGUGCGUAGGCUGUGCCACAAGUCAGCGGUGAAAUACCCGGGCUCAACCCGGGAGGUGCCGUUGAAACUGUGGUGCUGGAAUGCGGAUGCCGUGGGAGGAAUGAGUAGUGUAGCGGUGAAAUGCAUAGAUAUUACUCAGAACACCGAUUGCGAAGGCAUCUCACGAAUCCGCUAUUGACGCUGAGGCACGAAAGCGUGGGGAUCAAAC
RNAcentral lists this ribosomal RNA (250 nucleotides) under uncultured prokaryote. RNAcentral's name for it is "partial 16S ribosomal RNA". It matches the Rfam family "Bacterial small subunit ribosomal RNA", at positions 524 to 773 of the family's 1533-position model. The record is from RNAcentral.